This 514-nucleotide ribosomal RNA is filed under the name uncultured bacterium. RNAcentral describes it as "partial 16S ribosomal RNA". It matches the Rfam family "Bacterial small subunit ribosomal RNA", at positions 28 to 523 of the family's 1533-position model. The record is from RNAcentral.
GACGAACGCUGGCGGCGUGCCUAACACAUGCAAGUCGAACGGGGAGUUACUUGUAACUCCUAGUGGCGAACGGGUGAGUAACGCGUAGGCAACCUACCUCUAAAAUGGGGACAACACCGCGAAAGUGGUGCUAAUACCGAAUGUGGUAUCUUGGUCGCAUGACUAAGAUAAGAAAGAUGGCCUCUACAUGUAAGCUAUCGUUUAGGGAUGGGUCUGCGUCUGAUUAGCUAGUUGGUGAGGUAAUGGCUCACCAAGGCAACGAUCAGUAGCCGGUCUGAGAGGAUGAACGGCCACACUGGGACUGCGCCCCGGCCCAGACUCCUACGGGAGGCAGCCGUGCCUCCUCUUCCGCAAUGGACGAAAGUCUGCCUCGUCCCCGCCGCGUGAGUGAAGAAGGUCUUCGGAUUGUACCCCUCUGUCUUUUGGGACGCACGUAUCCUCUGUAACUAAUCCAGGGUAAUGACGGUACCAAAGGAGGCAGCCACGGCUAACUACGUGCCAGCCGCCGCCGUAA